RNAcentral lists this ribosomal RNA (269 nucleotides) under uncultured bacterium. RNAcentral's name for it is "partial 16S ribosomal RNA". The record is from RNAcentral.
CUGCUGCCUUCCGUAGGAGUCUGGUCCGUGUCUCAGUACCAGUGUGGGGGGACCUUCCUCUCAGAACCCCUACGCAUCGUCGCCUCGGUGGGCCGUUACCCCGGCCGACUAGCUAAUGCGACGCAUGGCCAUCCUAUGCCGGAGUCGCCUCCUUUGACCCCCGAAGAAGAUGUCUCCUAAAGGUGUUAUGCGGUAUUAGACGGAAUUUCUUCCGCUUACUCCCCCGUGCAUAGGGCAGGUUCCAUACGUGUUACUCACCCGUGCGCCGG